Molecule: ribosomal RNA, 442 nt
Filed under: uncultured bacterium
Lineage: Bacteria
Description: partial 16S ribosomal RNA
Rfam family: Bacterial small subunit ribosomal RNA
Source: RNAcentral
CCUACGGGAGGCUGCAGUGGGGAAUAUUGGGCAAUGGGCGCAAGCCUGACCCAGCAACGCCGCGUGAAGGAAGAAGGCUUUCGGGUUGUAAACUUCUUUUCUCAGGGACGAAGAAAGUGACGGUACCUGAGGAAUCAGCCACGGCAAACUACGUGCCAGCCGCCGCGGUAAUACGUAGGUGGCCAGCGUUAUCCGGAUCUAUUGGGUUUAAAGGGUGCGUAGGGGGAUCGUUAAGUCAGUGGGAAAAUUGAGGGGCUCAACCCCUUCCCGCCAUUGAAACUGGCGCUCUUGAGUGGAAGAGAGGUAUGCGGAAUGCGUGGUGUAGCGGUGAAAUGCAUAGAGAUCACGCAGAACCCCGAUUGCGAAGGCAGCAUGCCGGCUUCCGACUGACGCUGAAGCACGAAAGCGUGGGGAUCGAACAGGAUUAGAUACCCGGGUAGUC